Molecule: ribosomal RNA, 488 nt
Filed under: uncultured bacterium
Lineage: Bacteria
Description: bacterial SSU rRNA
Rfam family: Bacterial small subunit ribosomal RNA
Source: RNAcentral
GAUGAACGCUAGCGGCAGGCCUAACACAUGCAAGUCGAGGGGCAUCGCGGUGCAGCAAUGCACUGGCGGCGACCGGCGUACGGGUGCGUAACGCGUAUGCAACCUGCCCCGCACCGGGGGAUAGCCCGCCGAAAGGCGGAUUAAUACCCCAUGGUCCCGGGGGCCCGCAUGGGCAUCCGGGUAAAGCCUUGGCGGUGCGGGAUGGGCAUGCGUGCCAUUAGCUGGCUGGUGGGGUAACGGCCCACCAGGGCAACGAUGGCUAGGGGGUCUGAGAGGAUGGUCCCCCACACUGGUACUGAGACCGGACCAGACUCCUACGGGAGGCAGCAGUGAGGAAUAUUGGUCAAUGGGCGGAAGCCUGAACCAGCCAUGCCGCGUGCGGGAUGAAGGCCCUACGGGUUGUAACCGCUUUUCCCCGGGAAGAACUAACCCCCUCGCGAGGGGGAUGGCCGGUACCGGGGGAAUAAGGGAUCGGGCUAACGUCCGUG